GACGUAGGGUGCAAGCGUUGUCCGGAUUUACUGGGCGUAAAGAGCGCGUAGGCGGUCUGUUAAGUGUAGAGUGAAAUCUCCAGGGCUCAACCCGGAAACUGCUCUGCAUACUGGCAGACUUGAGGGACUGAGAGGUGAAUGGAAUUCCUGGUGUAGCGGUGAAAUGCGUAGAUAUCAGGAGGAACACCCAUGGCGAAGGCAGUUCACUGGCAGUCAUCUGACGCUGAGGCGCGAAAGCGUGGGUAGCAAACAGG
This 254-nucleotide ribosomal RNA is filed under the name uncultured bacterium. RNAcentral's name for it is "partial 16S ribosomal RNA". It matches the Rfam family "Bacterial small subunit ribosomal RNA", at positions 524 to 776 of the family's 1533-position model. The record is from RNAcentral.